AGGAACAGCUGUUGUCUCCAUGAGUUUUUUGGUGGAUGAAUCCAGAAGCUGACAUCUAAAUUGGCAUCUGACUGCACAGCAUCCAUGUGCAUCAACAUUGUGCAGCAACAACAUGCAUGAUAGAGCCCAGUUUUGUGCUCCUGCUGCAGUAUUUCUUCUCUAACUCUCCCCUUGAACUCCCCUACCCAUCCUCACAGGGCCCCUGAAUUCUAUGGGAAAACUCUGUACAACUACACGCGUAUUAGAAAUUCCUGGUACUUCUGCCCAUCCUUAAGAUUCAAACAGAUUAGACAUCACUCUACAUUUUAUGGCACUGUUUUUGUUUGAGAAUUUAGUUGGAAUGCAGUUGUGUGACUUCGUAUAAAUACAAACUGCUGAUAUUGACAUAUAUUUGUUCAAAAAUAUCUGAUUGUUAUUUAAUGUACCUCUUAAAUUAGAAGAAACAAUUGCAGGUCAACUCUGAAGAGUAUUUGAAAACUCGACUUUGCAUCAAUGUUUGAUGCUAAAAAAAUUUUUAAGGAUUCAAAUUAGAAAGAUCCUUGGCUGCAGGCAGCAAAACAGCUGGACUUAUUUAAAAACAACUUGCUUUUGAGUUUUAAAAAGAUUUUUUUUUGCUUAUUUGUUAUACAUGAAUGCAGUAGCACUUUGGUAUAAAAAAUUACAAAUUAAACAAUUUAUGUUGUUAGUCAAACCAUUUUCAUCUAAUGAAAGAGCUAUAUCAUGAGUCAGAAAAACAGACUGUUGUUGAUUUUUGAAUUUUAGGUCUAAAACUCUUUUUAGUUCAGUUUCAUGUUUGAUUACAUACUAUAUUUGCUAGCAGCAAAAAUGGUCCACAAUGAUAACAAAUUUUUAAUUUUUAUUUCAAGAGAAACUUCAGUUUAUAUUCCCAGAUUAAACAACAUUAUUUUCAUAAGAUUUUUGGCCACCUUGUCCCUCAUGGCCUUAGAUAGCAUCUCACAGAAAGCUGAAAAUUUUCAAUCCUUCCCAGUAAGAAUCUUAUAUCUCUAGGAAAUCCAUCUUGAAUUCAACCUAGUACCCAGUACAAAAAUAAAAGUAAAUAUUCCCUUCAGUUAAGCCUUCAUUUAAAAAAAAAAAGCAGGUAUGAUUUCUUAACUAUCUAAUAGAAUCCCAAGUUAUUAAUCCUUUGAAUUGGUCAUUGAGAAUGUCAUUCCUAAUAUACAAAAACAAACAAUAUUUAGGUUUUUUUAAGUCAACUAAAUUUUUGUUGUUUAUUACAAAGUAGUUUCACUCAGACUUCAAAACUAUUUUCCUUAAGGAGCUCCCUUAAAGACCUACAGAGAUUACAAAAAUGAAAACAAAAAACAAAGUGUACUAUUUCAAGCAUAUCAGUUGAAUUUCCCUACAAUGGCCAAUAAUUGAAUUUCAUGAUGCCAAAGGAUUAUAGAUUCAGAGCUGGAAAGGACCUUAAAAAACCAUCUAAUACAAUACAUUCAUUUUUUUUCUGGUGAGAAAAUGAAGCCAGUAAGAUUAAGUGACUUACCCAAAGUGUAGAAAACAUUUGGUGAAUUGAAAAAGAAAAUUUGGAUAAAUUAUUAUUCAUUGUAUCAUGAAUUCGACUUGCUAAUAUUUCUCAGUUCUUUGCUUUUCCCCAAUUCUAAACAGUUUCAUCUCCUCUGUAGUGUGUGUGUGUUUGUGUGUGUGUGUGUGUGUGUGUGUGUGUGUGUCUGGCUCUGUGUAUUUCUUCUGUCUGUCUCUGUAUAUCUAUGUCUCUGUAUACCUCUCUGUAUCUGUAUCUCUGUCUCUGCAUGUGGUCUGUUUUUCACUCUUUAUCUAUUUCUUUCCUCCCCCAUCACCCUUCCUUUCUUCUCUCUGUCUCUCUAAUUCUGUCUCUUUCUCUGGGCCUCUGUCUCUGUCUGUCUCUAUGUCUUCCUUUCAAAUGUCUCUCUGACUCUGUCCCUCUGUCUCUGUCUCCCCCCAUACACACACUCUUUUUUCCCUGAACUAUCAAACUAUAAGGGCUUUCUCUAAAUAACAAAUAUGGUAAACAUAAAACUCCCAGACUCUCUUCCUUUAACUAAAGGAAGACAAUGAGUCAGCCUUUCUCCUGAAUGUAAGGUUUCUUUUUGCAAAACAGAUUUUGCCAGCCAUUUUGGAUCUAUUCUGCUAUCCAAAUGCAGAAACACUUGGAAACAGAAGCCUACAGUACAAAUUAAAAUCAGAGAGUAAAUAGACAGCAUUUCUGCUGCUUGGGGUUUCUUUGUAGAUAAACAGAAAUGCUCUGAUUAAAAAGAAAAUGAAUGGUUUCACUAAAGCAACCUGUAAUUUAGAAUUGAGUAUUUCUAUCUUGAAAUACCUGUUUUCUUGGGACAUUCCGUCCUGUUUUUUCCAUACCUGAAAGUUAGUUUGACAAUCUCAG
Long non-coding RNA from Sarcophilus harrisii (Tasmanian devil), 2377 nucleotides. NCBI's taxonomy places the organism in Eukaryota, Metazoa, Chordata, Mammalia, Dasyuromorphia, Dasyuridae. The record is from Ensembl.